CCUACGGGUGGCAGCAGUCGAGAAUCAUUCACAAUGGGGGAAACCCUGAUGGUGCGACGCCGCGUGGGGGAAUGAAGGUCUUCGGAUUGUAAACCCCUGUCAUGUGGGAGCAAAUUAAAAAGAUAGUACCACAAGAGGAAGAGACGGCUAACUCUGUGCCAGCAGCCGCGGUAAUACAGAGGUCUCAAGCGUUGUUCGGAAUCACGGGGCGUAAAGCGUGCGUAGGCUGUUUCGUAAGUCGUGUGUGAAGGGGGCGGGCUGAACCCGCGGACGGCACAUGAUACUGCGAGACUAGAGUAAUGGAGGGGGAACCGGAAUUCUCGGUGUAGCAGUGAAAUGCGUAGAUAUCGAGAGGAACACUCGUGGCGAAGGCGGGUUCCUGGACAUUAACUGACGCUGAGGCACGAAGGCCAGGGGAGCGAAAGGGAUUAGAUACCCUGGUAGUC
RNAcentral lists this ribosomal RNA (446 nucleotides) under uncultured bacterium. RNAcentral describes it as "partial 16S ribosomal RNA". It matches the Rfam family "Bacterial small subunit ribosomal RNA", at positions 338 to 795 of the family's 1533-position model. The record is from RNAcentral.